This 253-nucleotide ribosomal RNA is filed under the name uncultured bacterium. RNAcentral describes it as "partial 16S ribosomal RNA". It matches the Rfam family "Bacterial small subunit ribosomal RNA", at positions 524 to 776 of the family's 1533-position model. The record is from RNAcentral.
UACGAAGGUCCCAAGCGUUAUCCGGAUUUAUUGGGCUUAAAGGGUGCGUAGGCGGCUUAUUAAGUCAGUGGUGAAAGCUCCAUGCUUAACAUGGAAAUUGCCAUUGAUACUGAUGAGCUUGAGUAUAUUUGAAGUGGGCGGAAUGUGUCGUGUAGCGGUGAAAUGCUUAGAUAUGACACAGAACACCGAUUGCGUAGGCAGCUCACUAAACUAUAACUGACGCUGAGGCACGAAAGCAUGGGGAUCAAACAGG